Panicum hallii is the source of this 1790-nucleotide long non-coding RNA. RefSeq lists it as uncharacterized. Lineage: Eukaryota; Viridiplantae; Streptophyta; Magnoliopsida; Poales; Poaceae. The record is from RefSeq and is a predicted model, not a curated record. The transcript is spliced from 4 exons.
ACGGUCUUUUUCUAUAUACUUAAAAUUAAAAAGAAGAAAUUAGCUAGAAUCAAAUGACUAUUACAGAUUGCUCACAAAAAAAAUUGACCAUUACAGAUAGAAGAACAACAACAGGAUAAUGUUCAUACCCCUCCUUUUUCUUUGUAAAAAGAAAUUCGUUAAAUUGAGUUACCAUUGCGUUCCCACCGCUUCGCUGUCUCUGCCGGCGUUGUGCAGUACAUGCAAGCGGGGCGGGUUGCGGCUGCCCGCCCCACGUCCGCAGCAGCUGCGGAUGCGGGCUCAUGCAGCAGUCCACAAAUCGCGGCGAUUGUUUUGCGGGUUUUGCGGCAGCCCGUAUGCCGCCGCGACUUGGCCGCUGCGUUUCCGAGCUUUAUGCUGCGCGUCGAGCCGUCGAACCUGCUGGCUUGCUGCCUGAAGAAGAUGGCUGCCUCAGGCAACCAUCACAAUCAGAGCUCACCUCACCAGGCAUCUUCCGUAGCACGCGCUCGGACGCCUCAAUAGGCACGGUCGGCGCCGGGUCGUCGCGGGGGCGGACGGGCGAGCCGGCGGCCAGACGGGAGUAGCGCGCGGUGGCAGGCGAGAUCGGUAGUGACGUCCAUGGCAGCAGCGGUGUCGCUGUCGCUGGAGUCGAGAGGUAAAAGAACAGCAAGAAGAUGGGGAUUGAUCUUGGAACCAAGAAUAUCCACGGGAAAUCAAGAGCACCAGGAAUGCAGAGAUUGAAGCCAAGAGAGAGGGGAAAUCAAGAAUGCGAUUUACAGGCGGGGAGCGAGGGAUCUGGCACGGGCAAUGAAUUUGGUGUGGGAUUUGGGGCGGAAUUUGCCGCGAGCGCUGGAUUUGAAGGAGGGGAGCGAGCGAGAGGGGGAGCACCCGGAGAUUUUGACGCGCCCAGUAGUGGAUCCGCCGGCUACCGGUGGCGGCGGCGAUGGAGCCAAGAUUUCUGAGGUACCCGGAGAUUUAUCUGAUUUCUGAGAUUCGAUCUCGAGGCUUGAUAUGUGAACAAAAGCCAAGAUGCAUGCCACCAUUGCACAUUCCAGGAGGGGGUCAGACCUGUAUGCAUCUCUCACGAUGGGCGCAGUAGAAGGUGGAGCAGCUAUUCGCAACACACACACACAUGGAUGGCGAAUGCCUGUUUGCGCUGAGAGCUGACAAGUGAAGUGAUAAUCACUGACCGUGAUGCCUGUUGGUGCAAUCAAGGGGUAUAUUCGUGAUGCUGCUGCUUUGAUGGAAGGAAGGGAUACAGCAAAGCAUGUGUCAUGCUAGCAUGAUUUGUGCAUGCGACACAACUUUAGGUCAUGUUUGGUCUGAAGGAGCAGAAGAAGCUAAUAUCACACGUUGUUGGAAAGAUUUGGAAUGAAAUACUCUGACGACCUCAAGAUGGAUUAGCAGUAUUGGGUAUUAAUGCCCAAAAAAAAUCAUGUGGCUACCAAUAAAAUGGGCAGAUGUUUAUAUGAAGGCGCUGCACUUCUGAAGCGCCCCCGUUUGCACAAGCACUAAAUGUGAUACAAAUACCGGUCCCAGGAAGGCUGCUACAUAUAUUUAUUAUAUCAGAUGAUUCAGUCUCGAUACAAAUCCCUCGGUAAAGGCCGAGUGAUCCAAAGCCAAAAGAGAAAUAAGCAGAAGAAACUGAGAGUGCUAGCUACGGAUAAUAAGGUCCGCGUGCAACAAUCUGGACUAAUCGGCAGCGGAAACAUCCUUAAUAGCCAAACGCAACGUGCAAGUUGGGUGCAGACGCGACCAACUACUCGAAAUCUUCACCGAUGAUGAAGUUUGGAUCUUUCUCUGUAAUAGCA